UGAAUGCUUUUUUACAGAAACAGCAAGCUCUCUGACAGCGGUAGUUACUGGAAGUGUUGGAGGAUCGCUGGUGUUGGUUACGAUUAUACUGAUUGUUGUGUUUUUUGUUCACAGACGAUACACAUGUAUCUUUAAAAUAGCAUUGGAAAAAAGAAAUAUAGAUAUAAAAGUUGACCCAAACAAAAAAACAUCGAACUAUACAACCAUAAAAG
This is a long non-coding RNA of Magallana angulata, 212 nucleotides long. RefSeq lists it as uncharacterized. The record is from RefSeq and is a predicted model, not a curated record. The transcript has 3 exons. Lineage: Eukaryota; Metazoa; Mollusca; Bivalvia; Ostreida; Ostreidae.